ACCUGGAUGGUCCAAACAGUUAAGGUACUCAGCUGCUAACUGAAAGGCUGGAGGUUCAAGUCCACCUAUAGGUG
RNAcentral lists this transfer RNA (74 nucleotides) under Loxodonta africana (African savanna elephant). It matches the Rfam family "tRNA". From Rfam's summary of the family: Transfer RNA (tRNA) molecules are approximately 80 nucleotides in length. Their secondary structure includes four short double-helical elements and three loops (D, anti-codon, and T loops). Further hydrogen bonds mediate the characteristic L-shaped molecular structure. tRNAs have two regions of fundamental functional importance: the anti-codon, which is responsible for specific mRNA codon recognition, and the 3' end, to which the tRNAs corresponding amino acid is attached (by aminoacyl-tRNA synthetases). tRNAs cope with the degeneracy of the genetic code in two manners: having more than one tRNA (with a specific anti-codon) for a particular amino acid; and 'wobble' base-pairing, i.e. permitting non-standard base-pairing at the 3rd anti-codon position. The record is from Rfam by way of RNAcentral. Lineage: Eukaryota; Metazoa; Chordata; Mammalia; Proboscidea; Elephantidae.